UACGAAGGGGGCGAGCGUUGUUCGGAAUUACUGGGCGUAAAGGGUGUGUAGGCGGUUUAAUAAGAUAGGGGUGAAAUCCCAGGGCUCAACCUUGGAAUUGCCUUUAUUACUAUUAGACUUGAGUAAUGGAGAGGAUAGUGGAAUACCCAGUGUAGAGGUGAAAUUCGUAGAUAUUGGGUAGAACAUCAGUGGCGAAGGCGACUAUCUGGCCAUUUACUGACGCUGAGGCACGAAAGCGUGGGGAGCAAACAGG
RNAcentral lists this ribosomal RNA (253 nucleotides) under uncultured bacterium. RNAcentral's name for it is "partial 16S ribosomal RNA". It matches the Rfam family "Bacterial small subunit ribosomal RNA", at positions 524 to 776 of the family's 1533-position model. The record is from RNAcentral.